AACUAAAGAAGGAUUUUACAUUAGGUCGGGCAUCACUGUAAUACUGAGUAAUGCAAUACAUUAGGUCGGGCAUCACUGUUAUACUGAGGAAUGCAAUACAUUAGGUUGGGCAUCACUGUUAUACUGAGGAAUGCAAUACAUUAUAUGAAAACACUUCAAAUUAACCGGUCGAUCUCUAGAGUUUAUAUAUAAACAUGGUAUUUCUAAAUUCUUAGAUGCAAACUCAUGGCAUAAUCAAUUAUUGAUAUGUUAAUUAUGUUUUCCAACUAGUAGUUUGCCUUGACUCCCUCUUGUUUAGUUUUGAAAGGAAAACAUAGGAUGUUCUUGUUUCCAGAGACAGGAGAUAAUUAGGUUGUUGUUUAUAAUGGAUCAAACCUAGUUAAAAACCUUGGCUUAUAUGUGUAAAGUCCAGCUUUUUAACUUUAUAUUCACUAACCAAAAAGUGCUCUAACAGUUACUACUCCAUGGUUGUUUGAGUUAUUACAAGACAUAUUAGUGAAACUUGUUCAUUUUGCCCAUACCUUAUGAUUUGUUUGUCUUGUAUUUGGUGUUUGAGAAUUGAUUUCUAUAGUACAAUUAACACAUUUUUCAUUUGUCUAGGAUUUAAAUAAAAAGAUACACGGUUUUUUCAUCUGUCUAGGAUUUAAGUAAAAAGAUACGCGGGUUUUUCAUCUGUCUAAGACCCCUUCUUUUCAGUUUUUGCAACAAUGAGUUUUCUUUGGAAUGUAAUGAUGGAAUCGUAUUAUACUAGUAUAUUUUAUGAAUAUGAUGUAGUAUAUGCUUGCAGGAGACUCAACAACAAGAAGCUGAC
RNAcentral lists this long non-coding RNA (811 nucleotides) under Lathyrus oleraceus (garden pea). RNAcentral describes it as "Pisum sativum (pea) long non-coding RNA (PSAT_LNC035037)". The record is from RNAcentral. Lineage: Eukaryota; Viridiplantae; Streptophyta; Magnoliopsida; Fabales; Fabaceae.